GAACGGUGAGGCUUCUUCACUUCGGGCCAGGAACAGGUGAAAACGAAGGCAGUCGAUGAGGACUCCGGUGAGGCUGAGCGAUCGUGAGGGUGGGCAGGCGUGAGCUCCGGCAACACUCGUGGGUUCAACCUCUGUCUCCGGCGAGAUCCUUCCCUGGUCCAUUGUUUGACAUCGGCGGUCCAAUCAAGGGAAUAGGAACGGACGAACGUAAACAGUCUAAGAGAUCGUCUGGUGGAUCAAAAUCGCGAGGAGAGGGAAGGAAGUUUCCGUCAGGAUUGGCGACCCUUCUUGGGUUUACAUCUGCAUCAUCGGCGGCAGUUGUGGUGGUCGCUGCCGUCUGCGGUGGCGAGGGAGGCUGCUCCGGCGGCUUCUCUUAGCUGCUCUCCUCCAUUCGUCGGCCGCUGAGCACGAAGGGGAAAGGUUCGAAUGGUCCAAUCGAUCGAACAAAGGCAGAUGUUCGGGGUUGCUGUUGGCUAGAUAAUCACAGGUAUUCCUUUUCUCUCCUUUUUGUUAUGACCGAAAAUCAGUGGAGUCUUGGUGGGUUUUGGGUUUGAUUCUUGACAGAGAAUGGAAGCAAGGAGAAGACAGGUGCAAUAGAAGAGGCAGCUGCCUCUUGUUCACUCACUCGAAAACAACCUCUCCUUGGGGUUGUUCUUCUUCUUGAUGGUGACAGCAAAAUUGAAUGUAAAGGAGGGUGUUUGGAGUUGGUUUAUCUCAUCAAAUGCAGGUGGAAAGAACCUAGAAUGGAUGGGGAAGCAACCUCGUAUGCCUCCCAGAGAAGAAAUGGAUAGAGGGGUUCAAGGUAGAGUGAAGAGGGACACGUGAUAUUAUGAAGAUAUGAACUGAUUUUUGGAAGAUUUUUCUGUACUUUGAAAUCCAGAAUUUGAUCUUGAGAGUGUAUUGCAUUAUUGGUUUAUAUUUGUGCAUGUGGGUGCAAAUCUGCUCAAUUUCUUUGUACUAGGUAUUGCUAUGAGAUUGAAUGUAUUUUUGGUUGUAUUUCUUUUUAUAUUCAUGUAUAUCUAUACUCAAGACUUAUAGAUACAUAUAUACUUGAUAAAUCUAGUGUAUGUGUAAUUGAAGUGUGCUUGUGCGUUUGAGGAAAUAAUCCAGAGGGAGGUAGAGAGUUAAAGAGAGAAGGGUAAUUUAAAUUUGAAGUUUGGCUGACUUUUAAAAGUCAAAGUCUU
RNAcentral lists this long non-coding RNA (1184 nucleotides) under Lactuca sativa (garden lettuce). RNAcentral describes it as "long non-coding RNA (LSAT_LNC000087)". The record is from RNAcentral. Lineage: Eukaryota; Viridiplantae; Streptophyta; Magnoliopsida; Asterales; Asteraceae.